CCUACGGGAGGCAGCAGUGAGGAAUAUUGGUCAAUGGACGAGAGUCUGAACCAGCCAAGUAGCGUGAAGGAUGACUGCCCUAUGGGUUGUAAACUUCUUUUAUAUGGGAAUAAAACGUUCCAAGUGUGGGAUUUUGUAUGUACCAUAUGAAUAAGGAUCGGCUAACUCCGUGCCAGCAGCCGCGGUAAUACGGAGGAUCCGAGCGUUAUCCGGAUUUAUUGGGUUUAAAGGGAGCGUAGGUGGAUUGUUAAGUCAGUUGUGAAAUUUUGCGGCUCAACCGUAAAAUUGCAGUUGAAACUGGCAGUCUUGAGUACAGUAGAGGUGGGCGGAAUUCGUGGUGUAGCGGUGAAAUGCUUAGAUAUCAUGAAGAACUCCGAUUGCGAAGGCAGCUCACUGGACUGCAACUGACACUGAGGCUCGAAAGUGUGGGUAUCAAACAGGAUUAGAUACCCCUGUAGUC
RNAcentral lists this ribosomal RNA (460 nucleotides) under uncultured bacterium. RNAcentral's name for it is "partial 16S ribosomal RNA". It matches the Rfam family "Bacterial small subunit ribosomal RNA", at positions 338 to 795 of the family's 1533-position model. The record is from RNAcentral.